This 699-nucleotide long non-coding RNA is filed under the name Anser brachyrhynchus (Pink-footed goose). Its description in RNAcentral is "lncRNA (ENSABRG00000000500.1)". Lineage: Eukaryota; Metazoa; Chordata; Aves; Anseriformes; Anatidae. The record is from RNAcentral.
UUAUAUAUUUUAUGUAUAUACAUAUAUAAUAUAUAUAUAUUUUUGUAUCUGCAGCUGUCCCUGUGGCCUGCCCACACACCAGCUUGACCCUGGCAGUGACCAUGGCAAUAGCACUGGCCCAGCUGCUGCAGACAUGGAAGGCAAGGCUGAGGCAGAGAAAACGCUCCUCUGAUUUUCAAGAUGAUCACUGGGUUACGUACAAGAGUGCAGCUGCAAAUACUGCAAGAACAACAAUAUUUCAGUAUCUUUACUAAUAAUUCUGUAUCUUGAAUGCCCGGCCCCGCUCCCUACAAGAUGGCCGCCACCGCUGAGGAGACCGCCGGGGGGGGGUUGGGAGCGGGGCGGGGCGAACACCCCUCAGGGCGAUCGCGGGGCUACCGGGGAAGAGGGAGAGGUGGGGAGCGGGGUGGCAGCACCAUGGGGGAGCAGAUGUGGGACAGCGACAGCGACGAGACCGUGGUGGAGGGCUCGGUGGCGGAGAGCGAUGUGGAGGAAGAGGAGUUCCACAGGAGGAGAUGGUUAUCUGUAUUCAAUAAGGACAUGGAUUUAACAACAGAAAUAAAAAAUAAUGGAGGAGUUUCCUCUCCAGAAAUCCAUUUUAUGCAUAUAGCUCACGGUCAUAUGUAUGGACUAAAGGUAAAACAGGUACAAAUAUGUACAGAAAUGAUACAUCUCCUUCUAUGCAUAUCUAGCUAUUAA